CCCCGUGGAGCUUUACUGUAGCCUGAUAUUGAAAUUCGGCACAGCUUGUACAGGAUAGGUAGGAGCCUUUGAAACGUGAGCGCUAGCUUACGUGGAGGCGCUGGUGGGAUACUACCCUAGCUGUGUUGGCUUUCUAACCCGCACCACUUAUCGUGGUGGGAGACAGUGUCAGGCGGGCAGUUUGACUGGGGCGGUCGCCUCCUAAAAGGUAACGGAGGCGCUCAAAGGUUCCCUCAGAAUGGUUGGAAAUCAUUCAUAGAGUGUAAAGGCAUAAGGGAGCUUGACUGCGAGACCUACAAGUCGAGCAGGGUCGAAAGACGGACUUAGUGAUCCGGUGGU
Molecule: ribosomal RNA, 339 nt
Filed under: Staphylococcus aureus
Lineage: Bacteria; Bacillati; Bacillota; Bacilli; Caryophanales; Staphylococcaceae
Description: partial 23S ribosomal RNA
Rfam family: Bacterial large subunit ribosomal RNA
Source: RNAcentral